CAAUUUUGGUGACUCGUCUCGCAUAAGACAGUUACCUGGUUAAGCAGUCUGCAAGCUGACUUAACCUUCGAUCAAACCGCCCUGCAAGGCGGUUUUUUCGU
Molecule: non-coding RNA, 101 nt
Filed under: Escherichia coli
Lineage: Bacteria; Pseudomonadati; Pseudomonadota; Gammaproteobacteria; Enterobacterales; Enterobacteriaceae
Also listed under: 2 other names
Source: RNAcentral